UAAACUUCUGUGUUGACACUGACUCACAGUUGGUUCUUCUACGGACUUUGGGUGUUAUAAUAUUAGUCAUUUAACUAUUCACCAAGAGAUCAGGUAUUGGUACUGUGUGUGAGCUACUCGGCCAGAUCGUCCUGUUUUCAUGGUACAUCUACAUACGACGUUUAAUCGUACAUGUGGGUACCAUUGCUGCUUCUGAUUUGGUAAAAUUUAGAUCCUUAUCAUGUAUCUGGAUGGUGCAGGUUUUCCUUUUUUCACAACAUCAUUUGUUUUGGUUCAUCAUUGUGCUAUUCUGAAUAAGUUAGCGUGGUACUUGCUUGGUGUUCCACCAGGAGCUGUUAUACCCUCUGUGUCAAGUACUCAAGUGUCAACAUCGUGUAGAUGAGCUGGACAUGCCAGGAAAGCCAUUGACACGAGGAGGAUCGUUAUGGUCAGCCAGUGCAAUUGCAGCUUGCAGGCUUUAAUGAUGGCAGUUAUCGAGGACUUGGACACGGAUAAUUUUGGAGAGCAUCAGAUGUAUAUGAAAUGGUCCAAUUAGCUAAGGAUCAUUCUUUCUGGAUAGCAGUGCGCUUAUGCCCCGCCUCAGGUGCGUGUGUUACUGUCCGUACGAUUGACCUUGCUAGGAAGGGUUGCUCCAGUUCAUUGGAGAACCCAGUCUCAAAUAUAUGCUUUAUACAAGAAGCUGUGGACUCAUCCAGAUUGACUGAUCGACUUAUCCAGGUAACUGAACUGCUCCUAGAUGUUUACUUGUCGAGUUGUACUGUACUGCUAUCCUUGUGUGGAAUUCUUAUGGCACUGUCCGCAUGCAUUUGUCAUACGGGUGGAACCUGAUGAGAACUUAUGGGUCGGCGGGCCUGCCUCUUUCUGUUCCCCAUCAUGGGCCCGCCAUUCAUUCCAUUCCAUUCCAUUCGAGGGGGCAUAGUAAAUCCUAAGUAGGCCCAUUUCUCCUGAUCUCCAGGAUGUCUCCCUUCCCUGGAGGGUAUACCGAACACCGAUUAUUCAACUAGCUGGGCGAUUCCCUAUGGUAUGGUAUGGUAUGGCCCAAUGCUUGCCAACUCGCCUGCAGUCAGGCUUAGCACACUGUUUAGUCCAACCAUUGAUAAUUUGAUAUCCAACGAUGUACACUUGUGCAGACCAACACACUCAGCUUUCACGAGCACACUGUUUUGUUCGCAGACAGCGACUUGUCAGACGGGUCAACGUCACUUGGGGUUUAGAGUCCCAUUAUGCUACCUGUUAAUUACAAGAUUCUUUAAUUUCUUCAAGGAUUAAUUGUGUACGUAGCAAUCUGGUAGAACAUUAUCAUAUAAUGAUGUAUUGGCUCGCAUAUUUUGUUUGUAGCUACUUACCAUGACGAUGUGUGCAAUACAACCUUGUUGCGGGAAAAAGUAAAUUGUAUUUGUACAGUCUCUUGCCUCAUUGAUAUGUAAUGGGAGAUUCUUCAUCCAAUCCAAUCCAGAACGCAAUACAAACCCAAAUUAAUAUAAGUUUAAAGGGGCUUAUAUUGCCCGCAAAUGACGCGUACAAGUAGCAAGCUAACGCAUUAGAUUAUCUCAUCUUCAUGUGGCAAUUUAGUGGCCCCUAUAAACAAUUGGUAGCAUGUCUGGCUGCCACUGAGCAGACGUGACUGAGUGCACACGACAGUGGAGUAUUUGCGUGCUCUGCAGCUGCUCAAGGAAGGAAUUGAAGCAGCUAGCUAACAAACAAACAU
This is a long non-coding RNA of Phragmites australis (common reed), 1708 nucleotides long. RefSeq lists it as uncharacterized. Lineage: Eukaryota; Viridiplantae; Streptophyta; Magnoliopsida; Poales; Poaceae. The transcript has 3 exons. The record is from RefSeq and is a predicted model, not a curated record.